This 506-nucleotide ribosomal RNA is filed under the name uncultured bacterium. RNAcentral's name for it is "partial 16S ribosomal RNA". It matches the Rfam family "Bacterial small subunit ribosomal RNA", at positions 29 to 523 of the family's 1533-position model. The record is from RNAcentral.
AGUGAACGCUGGCGGUAGGCCUAACACAUGCAAGUCGAACGGCAGCACAGGAGAGCUUGCUCUCUGGGUGGCGAGUGGCGGACGGGUGAGGAAUACAUCGGAAUCUACUCUGUCGUGGGGGAUAACGUAGGGAAACUUACGCUAAUACCGCAUACGACCUACGGGUGAAAGCAGGGGACCUUCGGGCCUUGCGCGAUUGAGUGAGCCGAUGUCGUAUUAGCUAGUUGGCGGGGUAAAGGCCCACCAAGGCGACGGUCCGUAGCUGGACUGGGGGGAUGAUCAGCAACACUGGAACUGGGAGACGGUCCAGACUCCUACGGGAGGCAGCAGUGGGGAAUAUUGGACAAUGGGCGAAAGCCUGAUCCAGCCAUACCGCGUGGGUGAAGAAGGCCUUCGGGUUGUAAAGCACUUUUGUUGGGAAAGAAAGCCAGCUGGCUAAUACCCGGUUGGGAUGACGGUACCCAAAGAAUAAGCACCGGCUAACUUCGUGCCAGCCGCCGCCGUAA